This is a long non-coding RNA of Parus major (Great Tit), 2319 nucleotides long. RefSeq lists it as uncharacterized. The record is from RefSeq and is a predicted model, not a curated record. Lineage: Eukaryota; Metazoa; Chordata; Aves; Passeriformes; Paridae. The transcript is spliced from 3 exons.
GCAGCCCGAGCAUUCCCGUAACUCAGCUGGCCUCUGCGCCGGCAGAGAUGUACGGGACUGACGUGCCGAGCGGAGAAGCGGCCGUGUUGCUGUCGGGGACAAUUAAGAUAGUGCCUCCUGAAGUGACCUUGUCAAAUUAGCAAAGGCCCGGAGCACUGUACAGCAGGGACUGGUGCUACAGGAGUUCAACCUGCAUGACUGUUGCUUUAGUGGAACACUACUGUGCUCCUUCAACUGAGGUUUAUAUGCAAGUGGUUCUUCAGCUUCUACUGAGGCUGAAAACUUCAAAGCUUAAUGAACUCAGAUUCACGGCAGCUUCUGGAGGUAGCAAGGUAAAAAGGAUCUUCAUGUUAAAGCAGGGGCCUGAAGCCAUUAGAAGAUACAAGUAUAAAACCACAAAUAAAAGCAGGAUUCAACAUACCAUUGCAGCUUUUCUAUUAAUACACACUCCUUGGCAUUCAGGAACUAUACGUUAUCUCUGCUAACUCCAGCUCAGACCCUAAGUUUUCCUCAAGCAUUUCCAACACUGGCUUUUCAGCCUGGCAUCUGCAGCAGGCUCUGUUGGGGCAGAGGGGAGGUUACAUGGCUGUGGCUCCUGACAUACCACAGCCCCAGUAUCACAUCCUGCUCUGUGGCAGUCCUGAUGCUGAAGUCUCAAAGACUCAGUAUGGAUCUAUCAGCAGGUGUUUUUUCCAAAAGUUAAUUAAUCCUUCGAACAUCUGAUCUCAAAACUGUCCUCACAUUUUGCUAAUUCAGGCCUCCUCGGCAGAUUUCUAGUGUUUCCUGACUCGAGCAUAGCAAUGGUCGUUAAUGACAGGCUAAGUGGCCAGCUGUGGCUCCUUAAUAUCUCAUGUAAUUGCUGCUCUAACAUCCUUUUCCUCCAAGCCUUGCAUGUGUGGCUGAAGUAAUGGAUAGAUAGCCCUAGAAACCAAGAGCCUUUGUUCAUCCACAGACAGAUCAUACGUGGUCAGGAGCACUACAAGGCUUCUCUGAGACACCCUGCUGAUGCACUUUACACUGUGACAGCACCGUUUAAAGUGUAUCUUUCUCAGAGGGUUAACUAAGCACUUGCUCUCCUUGUUUGAGCCCUGGGCUUAGCCCAGAACAGCCUCAGAGCCUACGGUCUCUUCCUGAGCCUGUGUCUCCUCACCUUGCUCCACGUGGGCGGGAGCAUGUCUGGGGUUUCUGAAGCCCUGACCCACUGCUCUUCAUGCUGCAAUCAGCUCUGCUUUUCUGACCAAGUUUUCCAGAAAGCUGUGAAGGCCAUGGCCAUCUGCCUGAGCCCUCGGCAGAAGCCACUGGAAAACUUCUCGUCCUUAUGUGACCUGUGUCCUCUACAGACCCAUCUUACAGGAAAUGAAGCUGAACCCCUGUGCAAAGCCAUGGCUGCCAACCCACUGUCACAGUACAAACAGCGUAAUUUAUUUUGUUAACAGCCUCAGACAGCUUUAUCUGCAGUCCUACCACUCUCUAACCCCACCACCCCGGUGCCCUCGUGCCUGGCACAGUGCUGCAGUCACAGCCAUGCCUAGCACCCAGCAGCCUUGAAGCAGCUCCAAAGGGCGUGUGGCUUCACAUUUGGUGACUGAGAACUUGCAGCCCUGCUAGCACUGACUGCGGCGGCACCUCGCGUGCCGAAAGUCUCAAGUUGCUGCUCUCCCUGACUGCUGAUGCUUGGGGUGACACUUGGAGCUGCUGCCACCUCCUUCAGUACCAAAAGCCAAACAGUAAAGUCUAGGCAGAGACUUUUUGGGCAGGCUGGUGACACUUACUACUGUAUUACUCCUCUUGCAGCUGCCAAAUGUGAUAUUUCAGGGGGAUUCAAGUCACUCCACCUUAGGAAGAGGUCUAGGCCAAGAACUUGGAAAACAACAAGGACUAUUCUGAACUCACCUGCUUGGCUCAAGAAACUUAAGAUCCACACCUAAACUAGGCUUCCCAUCAAAAUUUUCAUUUAUAUGUUAAAAACCUAACAGGAGCAAAGACCUUCCAUGAAGCCUUCGUGCUCCUCUCCAAGAUCUAAGGAUCGUAGAGGGGGAAAGCUUCUUUCCUGAGAGUGGGCAAUUGUCAUGUGAGAAUAAGUGCCCAGCAAAAUCUGAAUCAUCCUGCUGCUUCCCACGGGCUUUGGAGCAAUUUGGUUUUCACGCCUUUUGCUUUGUCAGAUGAAAUAUUUGAAUUGCUCUAUCUAAUGACGGGGUGUAUAUUCACAAUGGAAAUCCCAGUUCUUCUCACAGUGUUGUUUUUGACAUUGAGCACAGGAAUGCUUAAAGUUUCUGACACCUUUUCAUUAAAGGGAGAAAAAACUGCACACAUCUAUCA